UUUCUCAAUGGGGAACCCCUGAAGGAGCGACGCCGCGUGGAGGAUGAAGGUUUUCGGAUUGUAAACUCCUGUCAUUUGGGAACAAACCUUUCAUUUAACUGAUGAAAGACUGAUAGUACCAGAAGAGGAAGAGACGGCUAACUCUGUGCCAGCAGCCGCGGUAAUACAGAGGUCUCAACCGUUGUUCGGAUUCAUUGGGCGUAAAGGGUGCGUAGGCGGUCGCGCAAGUCGGAUGUGAAAUCUCAGGGCUCAACCCUGAAACUGCAUUCGAUACUGCGUGGCUAGAGUGCUGGAGGGGAGACUGGAAUUUACGGUGUAGCAGUGAAAUGCGUAGAUAUCGUAAGGAAGACCAGUGGCGAAGGCGAGUCUCUGGACAGCAACUGACGCUGAGGCACGAAGGCCAGGGGAGCAAACGGGAUUAGAUACCCCGGUAGUCCUGGCAGUAAACGGUGCACGUUUGGUGUAGGCGGAUUCGACCCCGCCUGUGCCGGGACUAACGCGUUAAACGUGCCGCCUGGGAAGUACGGUCGCAAGAUUAAAACUCAAAUAAAUUGACGGGGGCCGCACAAGCGGUGGAGUAUGUGGCUUAAUUCGAUGCAACGCGAAGAACCUUACCAGGGUUUGACAUGUAUUGUGUCGCAGGUGAAAGCCUGCUAGCUGGGUUAAACCAGCGCUUUACACAGGUGCUGCAUGACUGUCGUCAGCUCGUGUCGUGAGAUGUUGGGUUAAGUCCCGCAACGAGCGCAACCCCUGUGUCCUGUUGCCACCCCUUAAUUGGGAGCACUCUGGACAGACUGCCCUGUGAAACGGGGAGGAAGGUGGGGAUGACGUCAAGUCAGCAUGGCCCUUACACCCUGGGCUGCACACGUACUACAAUGCUCAGUACAAUAGGAGCCGAAACCGCGAGGUGGAGGAAACCACUAAAACUGAGCCCAAUUCGGAUCGCAGGCUGCAACUCGCCUGCGUGAAGCCGGAAUCGCU
RNAcentral lists this ribosomal RNA (981 nucleotides) under uncultured Verrucomicrobiota bacterium. Its description in RNAcentral is "bacterial SSU rRNA". It matches the Rfam family "Bacterial small subunit ribosomal RNA", at positions 364 to 1336 of the family's 1533-position model. The record is from RNAcentral. Lineage: Bacteria; Pseudomonadati; Verrucomicrobiota.